This is a long non-coding RNA of Fukomys damarensis (Damara mole-rat), 279 nucleotides long. RefSeq lists it as uncharacterized. Lineage: Eukaryota; Metazoa; Chordata; Mammalia; Rodentia; Bathyergidae. The record is from RefSeq and is a predicted model, not a curated record. The transcript is spliced from 3 exons.
GUUGCUAGGAAACUGCCUUUCAUUCUUUCUGCUGAGGUAUCAGAAUCAAGCCACGAGGGAAGCAGUGGAGCGCACAUCCCAAGCGUCGCGAUUCCACGGGAGCCUUACGAAGAGGUGAAGAUUUUCAGAAACAAAUCCGGUGAGAAUGGGGAGAGAAGGAAUUUAAAGAUGAGGAAGUGGAAGUCAUUAUUUUGAAGGCCCUUCCAUCAUGGUAUUUCUGCCAUGGAGCCAGCCAGCCGUGGGGAUUUACAGAUACCCUGUUCCUGAGAAACCCUGAGA